RNAcentral lists this ribosomal RNA (506 nucleotides) under uncultured bacterium. RNAcentral's name for it is "partial 16S ribosomal RNA". It matches the Rfam family "Bacterial small subunit ribosomal RNA", at positions 28 to 523 of the family's 1533-position model. The record is from RNAcentral.
GAUGAACGCUAGCUACAGGCUUAACACAUGCAAGUCGAGGGGUAACGAGAGGAAAGCUUGCUUUCCUUGUCGACGACCGGCGCACGGGUGAGUAACGCGUUUCCAACCUGCCCCCAACUAAGGAAUAACCUUGCGAAAGUAAGACUAAUACCUUAUAAUUUCCUCAGAUGUCAUCUGACGAGGAAUAAAGAUUUAUCGGUUGUGGAUGGGGAUGCGUCUGAUUAGCUUGUUGGCGGGGUAACGGCCCACCAAGGCAACGAUCAGUAGGGGUUCUGAGAGGAAGGUCCCCCACGUUGGAACUGAGACACGGUCCAAACUCCUACGGGAGGCAGCAGUGAGGAAUAUUGGUCAAUGGGCGAAAGCCUGAAUCAGCCAAGUAGCGUGCAGGAUGACGGCCCUAUGGGUUGUAAACUGCUUUUAUACAGGAAUAAAGUUAGCCACGUGUGGUUAUUUGUAGGUACUGUAUGAAUAAGGACCGGCUAAUUCCGUGCCAGCAGCCGCAGUAA